AGUCCAGCUGGGGUUAAGAAAUUUCCCUACGAUCUUUACAGUAGUGUCGUAAAUAUAGGCUCGGUUGCCAAGCGACCAUCUGAUUUCAGGCUUAGGCCGCUCUACUGUAAAGUGAGGGGAUCCACACAGAAGGUUAAAGUGAGUUCACCCAAACACGCAUCAUGCCGUUCAUCGACCUCCAGGGGAAGUUGUUUAUCAACAUGGACAAAUGGAUGUUGAUCCAGGGUGGAGAGCAGCCAUAUAAACGUGCGCCGCGCUGCCAUGCCUUUGAGAAGGAGUGGAUCGAGUGUGCAGAUGGCAUUGGUCAGACCCGUGCCAAAAAGGAGUGCAAGCUCGAGUUUGAGGACUUCUAUGAGUGCAUGCACAGAGAGAAGACGCACAAGAGGCUGUAUGAGAUCCGUAAGCAGCGGGACAAGAUGGUGAAGGAGGGCACCUACCAGACCCCAGCUCACCACACUGGCGCUCAGGCUGACAACAGGCCUUGACCCUAUUUGACCUUGUGUGUCCCCAACUUGUGUACAGUGUAGGGAGAGAUGAUUGGAAGAAAGGGACAGAAACGUGAAGGUAGCCUAGUGGUUGGUGUUGGACUAGUAACCGAAAGGUUGCAAGAUCAAAUCCCUGAGCUGACAAGGUAAAAAUCUAUCGUUCUGCCCCUGAACAAGGCAGUUAACUGUUCCUAGGCCGUCAUUGAAAAUAAGAAUUUGUUCUUCACUGACGUGCCUAGUUAAAUAAAGGUAAAAUAAAUAUUUAUGAUCUUG
RNA transcript from Oncorhynchus keta (chum salmon), 758 nucleotides. It is a transcript of the gene named NADH dehydrogenase [ubiquinone] iron-sulfur protein 5-like, with no coding region annotated. The record is from RefSeq and is a predicted model, not a curated record. The transcript is spliced from 5 exons. NCBI's taxonomy places the organism in Eukaryota, Metazoa, Chordata, Actinopteri, Salmoniformes, Salmonidae.